GCCGAUUUGGUCCUAGUCCCAACUCUAGCUUUUUUAAACCUGCCACAUGCAAGCUAACAAGCAACCCAGUGAAAACAAAUUCUCUUCUCAAUCUAACUAAAAGAAAGAAAAGAAAAAGAUACUGAUAUCAGGAAAUAUAUCCAAAAACAUCAAGCAUCACUUGCCACAUCUGCAGUGCUAAAUAUUAGACAAUCAGAACAAUCUGGAUCUAGUAAAGAAUAUACAAAGGAGGUAAAAUACGUGCCAGCCACCGCGGUUAUACGUACAUCCUACAGCUAAAGUCUUUUUUAUUAACGGUUAAAAGGGUGGUUAAAGAAUUAUACCUCUUAUCUGAAGCUCUAAGUUAGUGGUAAAAAACUUACCUUAGAAGAAACAUACUAUUAGAUAACAUAAAAACUUGAACCCACGAAUACCAAGACCUAAACCAGGAUUAGAUACCCUGCUAUACUUAGAAGUUAACAACCUAAAGCACCAGAGAACUACGAACCAAAAGUUUAAAACUCAAAGGACUUGGCGGUUUUCCAAAUCUCCCUGGAGGAGCUUGCCAUUGAAUCGAUAAUCCACGUUACACCUCACCAACUUUUGAAAUUUACAGCCUGUAUACCAUCGUCGUAAGUCUACUCUCUAAGGAAGUUGACACAAAGAGAACACCUCCAGACGUCAGAUCAAGGUGCAGCCAAUAAGCUGGGGAUAGGUGAGCUACAAUGUUAUUUACAACCAGUGAAAGAAAACAUGAAAAAUGUUUCUGAAAUUGGAUUCAGCAGUAAGAAUAAUUAGAUAAUUAUUCUGAAGAGAGCUCUGGAAUGCGUACACAUCGCCCGUCACUCUCGCCUAACUUAAACUAAAAAGUAAGGGGAGAAAAGUCGUAACACAGUAGGCCUACCGGAAGUUAGGCCUGGAUAAACUAAAACU
This 912-nucleotide non-coding RNA is filed under the name Caenopedina pulchella. Lineage: Eukaryota; Metazoa; Echinodermata; Echinoidea; Pedinoida; Pedinidae. The record is from RNAcentral.